Haliotis rubra (blacklip abalone) is the source of this 166-nucleotide long non-coding RNA. RefSeq lists it as uncharacterized. The transcript has 2 exons. The record is from RefSeq and is a predicted model, not a curated record. Lineage: Eukaryota; Metazoa; Mollusca; Gastropoda; Lepetellida; Haliotidae.
UUGAGCUUGGCAGAGGAGAAAUAUGAUCUUCAAAUUGCAGAAUCAGAGGGGGAGUCUCUGAGGCAUUCCAAGGGAGGAAGGGGUUUCAGAUGCAGUAUCUGUGAGAAGGUACUGACAUGUAAAGGUGGAUAUACUGUUCAUCAGCAGAUGCACUUGAAGUCAAAAG